CUACGGGGGGCUGCAGUGAGGAAUUUUGCGCAAUGGGGGAAACCCUGACGCAGCAACGCCGCGUGAGUGAAGAAGGCCUUUGGGUCGUAAAGCUCUGUCAACAGGGAAGAAGUUACGAUUGUUUAAUAGAUGAUUGUAUUGACGGUACCUGUGGAGGAAGCGCCGGCUAACUCCGUGCCAGCAGCCGCGGUAAUACGGGGGGCGCAAGCGUUAUUCGGAAUUAUUGGGCGUAAAGGGCGCGCAGGCGGUCUUGUCCGUCAGGUGUGAAAGCUCGGGGCUCAACCCCGGAAGUGCACUGAAACAGCAAGACUUGAAUACGGGAGAGGAGAGAGGAAUUCCUGGUGUAGAGGUGAAAUUCGUAGAUAUCAGGAGGAACACCGAUGGCGAAGGCAUCUCUCUGGACCGAUAUUGACGCUGAGGCGCGAAGGCGUGGGUAGCGAACGGGAUUAGAUACCCCUGUAGUC
RNAcentral lists this ribosomal RNA (464 nucleotides) under uncultured bacterium. RNAcentral's name for it is "partial 16S ribosomal RNA". It matches the Rfam family "Bacterial small subunit ribosomal RNA", at positions 339 to 795 of the family's 1533-position model. The record is from RNAcentral.